Molecule: long non-coding RNA, 1218 nt
Organism: Nicotiana tabacum (common tobacco)
Lineage: Eukaryota; Viridiplantae; Streptophyta; Magnoliopsida; Solanales; Solanaceae
Source: RefSeq, a predicted model, not a curated record
UGCCCAAUUGUCGUCGACUUUCAGAAGCACCAUACUUUCCCUCUGAAACCGAUCAAUGAAAUCUCGGAGUGACUCUGUCCUUCUUUAUACGAUUUUGAAGAUAUAUUCCACCUUUUGUGCUCUGGACUAGGCUUUGAUAAAAGCAUCUGCAAGUUCAACAAAAGAAUUGAUAAAAUGUUCAAGUAAAUGUUUGUAUCAUGUUAAAGUCCCUUUGGCCAAAGUCUCCCCAAAUCUUUUGAUAAGCAUCAAUCUGAUCUCCUUCUUUAUGAGGGAGUUCCCUUUGAUCCUGGUCAUCCCUGGUACCGUCUUAUUUCAAAAUUUCUAGCAUUUUUAAUUUCUUCAAAAUCGACAACGAAGUCGCACUAGGCUUCCAUGGUUAUUGGGAAUAUUUAUCCACGUCAAUCCCUUUUACGACAGACAGGACUCCUAGGAUCUGCUCAAUCCUCUCCUUUUGUUCCUUAAGCUAUUGCUGAAAGCAAUUUGGAAUUAGGGGUUUGUUCUCGGUGGCGGAGUAGGUGUUACAAUAGUUGCUCCGCUCGUUAAGGCCAACAAUGCUUCUUUGCAUUUGGCGUUCGGCUUAUGUUCCUUCAUCAUAAAAAAUUUCACCAUCUCCUCCAAACCACAAUCAUUAGGGCGGCUGCUAGUGGAUCAUAUCUGGGUCAUUGAUAAGUUGGUAUCAAGUGAUUAAGAGAAGAUACAAAAGAAAACAAGUCAAAAUGUGUUAAAAAGGGAAAAAUUAACUGCUGCCAGUGAAUGCUUUUCGUGAUCGCGGAGAAUUCCAUGCGGUCGCGUAAUUUUAGCAGUUAAGCCAUCGCAAAUGCAGUAGAAGUCAUGCGACCGCGAAGAAGUAAAGCUGGACAACCACUUGUCAAACUUUCUACGCGAACGCGUAUCUUGCUCGGCGAUUGUGUAGCUUUGCAGAAGUUGGUCACCACAAUUGCGGUUCUUGUUUCGCGAUCACAUAGCACAUUAAAUGGACAGAUUCCAGGCAGAAAUGAAAUUUCACGUUUUUGAUCCCCAAGCUAUUCAAUACAUGACCUAGCUUAUUAGAAAUACAUCUUUGGCUUAUUUUUCAGUAUCUUCACUAAGAGAAACAAUCUUGGGAGCUAGGGUCUAACACACACACUUGGGACUUGAAGAUUUGAAGCUCUUGGCUGAGAAUUUCUUAUCCAUUUAUGUUCAUUUCUUUAUAUCCAUGCUUUGUAUUGAAUAUUUAAG